Molecule: ribosomal RNA, 139 nt
Filed under: uncultured bacterium
Lineage: Bacteria
Description: partial 16S rRNA
Rfam family: Bacterial small subunit ribosomal RNA
Source: RNAcentral
UGGGGAAUUUUCCGCAAUGGGCGAAAGCCUGACGGAGCAAUGCCGCGUGGGGUGGAAGGCCUACGGGUCGUCAACUUCUUUUCUCGGAGAAGAAACAAUGACGGUAUCUGAGGAAUAAGCAUCGGCUAACUCUGUGCCA